GCAGCAGCCGCGGGAAUACGAGGGGAGCUAGCGUUAUUCGGAAUUACUGGGCGUAAAGCGCACGUAGGCGGCUUUGUAAGUUAGAGGUGAAAGCCCAGAGCUCAACUCUGGAAUUGCCUUUAAGACUGCAUCGCUUGAAUCCAGGAGAGGUGAGUGGAGUUCCGAGUGUAGAGGUGAAAUUCGUAGAUAUUCGGAAGAACACCAGUGGCGAAGGCGGCUCACUGGACUGGUAUUGACGCUGAGGUGCGAAAGCGUGGGGAGCAAACAGGAUUAGAUACCCCCGUAGUCCCUGUCUCUUAUAC
Molecule: ribosomal RNA, 302 nt
Filed under: uncultured bacterium
Lineage: Bacteria
Description: partial 16S ribosomal RNA
Rfam family: Bacterial small subunit ribosomal RNA
Source: RNAcentral